Molecule: long non-coding RNA, 1971 nt
Filed under: Oryctolagus cuniculus (rabbit)
Lineage: Eukaryota; Metazoa; Chordata; Mammalia; Lagomorpha; Leporidae
Description: lncRNA (ENSOCUG00000037089.1)
Source: RNAcentral
GGGGCGGGCCCAGUGUCCCCAUCUGGUGGACGAGGCCCAGAGAAGCCCGGUCAGAUGCUGAGUGGCUUUCCCGGGUUGGCCCCGGCUUCCCCUGGAGCAUCCAGCCUGGGCUGGCAGAGGCCGGGCCCCCUCCGGCUUCCUGCCCGGCGGCACAGGCUGUUGACUCAGCAGCAGUGCCGGACUCUGAACUUGCUGGAAGCGUGCAGGGGAGAUAAGCCGGGGCCCAGGCUCUCCCUCUAGGCCAGGCUGGGGACACUGCACUGCAGGCGGCAGGGGGUGGCUCUGCUGCUGGCCCCCUGCGGGCAGCCGGGGAGGAGGGCCUGGGGGCUGGGAGACCCCAAGCUCACCGCUGUGUGUCUGUGGGCAGGGACUUAGCCUCUCCACGGCUCACUUUUCCUCCUCUGGGAAGGCGUGGGGGCUGGGGACUGUUGAGAGGCCCAGGAGGCACCUGUGGGAAUCUGCACACCUGCGACAUGCCAGGCACGGACUUCAGCCAGAAGCUCCGCCCCAGAGCAGGCGACCGUGACCCAGAAGCUGAGGACCAGAGAGGCCGGGAGCUUGUCGGGGACACCCAGCCCAGACCCCGCACGGGUGGCGUUUGACCUCAGAGCAGAGCGAGCCGGCCAGGAGCUGGGGACGCCAGCGCUGCCUGAGAGCGCACGGAGGACGCGGCGGGCAGACACUGCGCCUGGCGGCAGGGACCCUGACCGCCCGCUGUCCUGUGUCCCUCGUGCCUGGCACACACAGCAGGCGCUCACCGCCCUGUUUCACGCAUGGACAGCCGGAGGCCUCGUCAUGACCUCAGAGCUGGGAGCCGGCGGGGACCACGGAAGGCGGCCAGGCACGGUGGCGCAGGCCUGGGUUUGAGUGUCGGCGCUGCUCGGCUUGCCUUGGGAGCCGGGCGAGUGGCUGACUGCUGCGUGCCUCGGUUUCCCCGUCUGUGAAGUGGGAGUGAGGAGAGGUUUGUGGGAGAUUAAACGCGGCACUAGAGAAUGUUGGCAGGUGGGGGCCGUCUCGGCAGCAGCUCAGGGAGGCUGGCUCGGGGGCGCCCGGCCUGGCCCCCGGUCCCGGUAUGGCCGCAGUCACGGGCCCCUGGCUCCGGCCCCGGUCCCGGCAUGGCCGCAGUGAGCCAGCGCAUGGGAGCUCGCGCGCUCUCCAAUAAGAAACGAACACAUUCUGGAACACCCGAUCCCCGGCCUCGGGACAGAGACACGAGACACCGGGCUAGUAUACAAUUCUGUAUUUAGCGACUCGUUGACAGAACGCGUUCCUUUUUUUUUUAAAUUUUAAACAAAGUUCAUCAAUCUCUCAUAGAAAUGGUUUGGUGUGGGUUUUUGCUCUCUGACCGUUUCGGGACGAGAACCUGACCAGGCUGUUCGGGGGUCCGUGAGCUUCAGGCACAACAGGAUCUGCGUGUUCUGGAGCCCGGGCCGAGUGCUGCGGCAAAUCCCGUCCCACUGAGGCCAGACGCAGGGCUCGCGGAACCCGAGUCAGCGUGGCGGCCUGGAUCGCGACGUCGUGUUGGUGUUGGGAAUAACAAGUGCUGGUCCCCCAUGCGUGUCCUGAUUGUUAACAGGGCGGCGGUGUCUCACUUGUUCCAGAUUUGACUACUCCGAGAAUUGGCCACUGUUUUCUAUUGUCAAAAUAUAAAAAUACCUUCAUCUGGAUAAAAAUGUAGACAGUGGAAAACUCUUCAAUGCAUAGCCUGGGUGAAGGGAGGAGGUUCUCCCGCAGGGUUCUUGCCGGCUGUUCAGCAUGGAGACUGCGGCCUGGGCUGGGUGCAUGAGAGCUGGGAUUUCUGCAACGGUCCUCACCUGUCCCCCUCUGGCCACCUCGCCUCCGUCGGCUCCCCCCAGCCCCCCGGCACUGCACUGGCACCGGCCGCGGUCACCUCUCCAUGGUUAUUCUUGGGAGUCGCCCAAGUCAGUCUUCCCACAGAGUUUGAGAAAGGAAAACAAACAAAAGCAAGAG